AAUGGGAGCAAUGUAAGCCGCCAUGGCGACAUUACCUCCAAGAAAAAAUCCAACACCAACGAAAAUAUCGAAGGAACACUUAACUCCACUUCAGAUACUCCUCCAACUUGGAUUUCCAAGGCACAGGGCAGAAAAAGCCCUAGCAGCCACAGGUCACCGUGGAGUACAACUGGCGUCGGACUGGCUCCUGGCGCACGUCCGAGAUCCGACUCUGGACACAGAAGAACCCCGAGAGUAUAUUCUGUACUUGUGCCCGACAGGACUCCUCGCCGAGAAGCUCGCUAAAUUCUGGGUGGAGUCCCGAGAGUUAGAAUGGAACAAAGCCCACAACUACCUCCCACACAUCACCUUAACCCGUUUCUUCAAGGUCCCCGAUGACUCUGCAGAGCAAGUCUCCAACGCCCUGGAGACUCUCCUCCAGGGUGAAUCCCCCGAGACCCUGGACUUCGACACGUACAUCUCCCCGAACUUCAUGGGACUAUUUGUGGAGGACAAGCAGGUGAAAUGGCUGGAUACACUAGCAGUUCGCUUUGUCAGCAAGCUCUCCACCCUGGGGAUCAACGCCGAGGCCCACACCAACUCUCUGCACAUAUCCCUGGCUUAUAGAUUCACCAGUAAUCUCUUUCAACCCCUGAGAUCGAUGGUGGAGAGAUUGGGAAUGAAUUCCACGUCAAAUUGGGAGCUGAGGCUCUACUCCAGGGACUCUCGACUCCGAGACGCUCACGUCCACAAAGUCACUCAUGCCCACGUCCCGAGGGAGCACGAUGAGUUGGAAUUACGACCUGGGGAUUUCAUUUACCUGUCAGAGGGUGCAUGCAGUGCCUCGAUCGAUGGAUGGGUCGAGGGUGUGUCCUGGUUGACUGGAACAUCAGGUUAUCUCCCCUUAAAUUAUACCGAGAGGACUGCAGAGACUGACUCCUGGACACUCCACACAACUGUUCAGAUAAAUGGAGGUAGUGAUCACGAUCCAGAGAUUCCCAGGAGUAGAAAACCCCCGGUGCUGUCUUCCUCGGAGUCGAUUGACACACCUGAUGGUGUUGGAACUGACAGUGAACCCCUGGAGGGACUGGGAGCUCCCUCCACCCACGCCAGACAGAUUUACAUCUGCAGACACGGGGAGAGGGUGGACUUCACCUUUGGUGCCUGGAUUCCUUACUGCUUCGAGGCCAAUGGCAGCUACAUCAGACGCGAUCUCAACAUGCCUAGAGAAAUACCACCGAGAAAUAUUCAGGAAUUUCAAAGUGACAGCCCCUUGACGACCCUGGGGGAGAUGCAGGCAAGUCUAGUGGGUGAAGCCAUGAAGUCGUCAGCUGUGAAGAUCGAUGUGGCCUUCACAUCGCCAUCACUCCGAUGUGUUCAGACGUUAUCAAAAAUUCUCAAAGGUCUGGGGUCUAGUGUCCAGAUGAAGGUGGAGCCUGGAUUGAUCGAGUGGCUUGCCUGGUACCCUAAUGGCUUACCUAACUGGAUGAAUAAUGAAGAGUUGAGCAAUGCUGGAUUCAAUGUCGAUAGGAGUUAUGAGGCUAUUGUCACAACUGAUCAACUCCCUCAGAGGGAGAAUGCUGCACAGUAUUACGAGAGGAGUUAUGAACUCAUCAAGAGAAUCAUCGAGAGCACUGUUGGUAAUAUUCUAAUUGUUGCUCACGCUGCUUCCCUCGCUGCCUGCACCAGGCAACUGACUGGAGGUAGAAUUCCAUCAGCUGCUGAGGUCACCAGACUCGUCCAGAGGGUACCAUAUCUCGCCUGUCUCACUGCACAGGAGGAGAUCGAUGGAUGGCAGCUGCAUCCACCACCAUUUCCACCCAUCACUCAUUCAAGUAAUAGUAGAUUCGAUUGGAAGAUUCUGAUUUAAAUCCCUCCUAAUAAAUGAGGGACCAGGAGUUACUAAAAAAUAUCCGGAGAAAUAAAUUAAUUUGGGGUGGAUCUGGACAAUAUCAGAAUUUUUUGUCGCCCUGGAAAUUCUCGAAACAAUUCCAUGGAUAUCAACGUUUAAAUUUGGUUACUGAGUUACAAAGACUGCUGCGAUACAAUGAAUUUUAUAAAUGUUAUUACUGUGUAUAGUAUAUCAGAGGUGUUAUCCUACUUUAAUAAGAAAAGUAAUGUUCAUCGUCCAAUCACUAUCUGUCUUUCAAAUUUGAGAACGCAAGUUCACAGAUUACCACGAAUAUCUCGAUGUUUCCUCGUGAAUGAGUGUUUUAGAGAUUUACUGGAUGUGAAUUACACCACAGGGGCAACAAUCGUAUUUAUUAUUAUUUAACUGGUGUAUUUGACUGGCGGAUGGUAGUGGAGUAUAUUUUUUAUAAUUAAUUUAUUCGUUAUUUUACAGGUAUUUAAUGAACAACGAUCUUUCAAUAAAUUGCAUGUCUUCCAACGUAAGAUCAAUUAUUUAGGGAUAUGAUAGCCUAUUGUUAUUAAAUUGUGGAGAAGAUGUCAAUCUUAUUGAAGUUUUAAAUAAAUGAAUUUUUUGAUGGGUUUCCAAUCACAAGACAUUGAAGUGAUUUUUUUUUUGUUUAUGGAAAUGAAAUUAUUUCAAAAUAAGAUUGUUUUACGUUUUUUUCCCGCGAUAUUUAAUCACGUGAUAUCGACAGCCACGCCACUAAAAAAGUUUGACUCUGACGUGGCCCGGAUGACGGCUGCAGGGAAUUCAUUCUCCAUUCGAUUCCAAAAACUCAACAAAAAUUGUAAAACAAUGAUUUAAUUAUCAUCAGUCAAUUCCAAAAGUGUCUAGUGUAUAGUUAUCGUCAAAUAACUCACCAUCAGUGCUUGAAAUCACGAAUUAAAGAGGGCGGAGCUCCUGUGUUGACAGACGAUGUAAGUCUUCAAGUAUUUAUGGAACACCUGAAGAAAUUGGCUGUGUCCUCAACUGCCUG
Fopius arisanus is the source of this 2867-nucleotide RNA transcript. It is a transcript of the gene named transport protein Sec23, with no coding region annotated. The transcript is spliced from 3 exons. NCBI's taxonomy places the organism in Eukaryota, Metazoa, Arthropoda, Insecta, Hymenoptera, Braconidae. The record is from RefSeq and is a predicted model, not a curated record.